This 497-nucleotide ribosomal RNA is filed under the name uncultured bacterium. RNAcentral describes it as "partial 16S ribosomal RNA". It matches the Rfam family "Bacterial small subunit ribosomal RNA", at positions 28 to 507 of the family's 1533-position model. The record is from RNAcentral.
GAUGAACGCUGGCGGCGUGCCUAAUACAUGCAAGUCGAGCGAACAGAUGAGGAGCUUGCUCCUCUGACGUUAGCGGCGGACGGGUGAGUAACACGUGGAUAACCUACCUAUAAGACUGGGAUAACUUCGGGAAACCGGAGCUAAUACCGGAUAAUAUAUUGAACCGCAUGGUUCAAUAGUGAAAGACGGUUUUGCUGUCACUUAUAGAUGGAUCCGCGCCGCAUUAGCUAGUUGGUAAGGUAACGGCUUACCAAGGCGACGAUGCGUAGCCGACCUGAGAGGGUGAUCGGCCACACUAGAACUGAGACACGGUCCAGACUCCUACGGGAGGCAGCAGUAGGGAAUCUUCCGCAAUGGGCGAAAGCUUGACGGAGCAACGCCGCGUGAGUGAUGAAGGUCUUCGGAUCGUAAAACUCUGUUAUUAGGGAAGAACAAAUGUGUAAGUAACUAUGCACGUCUUGACGGUACCUAAUCAGAAAGCCACGGCUAACUACGUG